RNAcentral lists this ribosomal RNA (273 nucleotides) under uncultured bacterium. RNAcentral describes it as "partial 16S ribosomal RNA". It matches the Rfam family "Bacterial small subunit ribosomal RNA", at positions 524 to 796 of the family's 1533-position model. The record is from RNAcentral.
UACGGAGGGUGCAAGCGUUAAUCGGAAUUACUGGGCGUAAAGCGUGCGUAGGCGGUUAUUUAAGUCAGAUGUGAAAGCCCCGGGCUUAACCUGGGAACUGCAUUUGAUACUGGAUGACUCGAGUUGAGUAGAGGAGAGUGGAAUUUCAGGUGUAGCGGUGAAAUGCGUAGAGAUCUGAAGGAACACCAGUGGCGAAGGCGGCUCUCUGGACUCAAACUGACGCUGAGGUACGAAAGCGUGGGUAGCAAACAGGAUUAGAUACCCCCGUAGUCC